CCUACGGGAGGCAGCAGUAGGGAAUAUUGGUCAAUGGACGCAAGUCUGAACCAGCCAUGCCGCGUGCAGGAAGACGGCCUUCUGGGUUGUAAACUGCUUUUAUCAGGGAAGAAAACGCCCUUGCGAGGGAACUUGCCGGUACCUGAGGAAUAAGCACCGGCUAACUCCGUGCCAGCAGCCGCGGUAAUACGGAGGGUGCAAGCGUUGUCCGGAUUUAUUGGGUUUAAAGGGUGCGUAGGCGGCCUUUUAAGUCAGUGGUGAAAUGUAUCAGCUUAACUGAUGAAGUGCCAUUGAAACUGAAAGGCUUGAGUACAGACGAGGUAGGCGGAAUUUAUGGUGUAGCGGUGAAAUGCAUAGAUACCAUAAAGAACACCCAUAGCGAAGGCAGCUUACUAGACUGAGACUGACGCUGAGGCACGAAAGCGUGGGGAGCGAACAGGAUUAGAUACCCUGGUAGUCCACGCUGUAAACGAUGAUUACUGGAUGUGUGCGAUAGACCGUACGCGUCUGAGCGAAAGCGUUAAGUAAUCCACCUGGGGAGUACGAUCGCAAGAUUGAAACUCAAAGGAAUUGACGG
RNAcentral lists this ribosomal RNA (577 nucleotides) under uncultured Bacteroidota bacterium. RNAcentral's name for it is "bacterial SSU rRNA". It matches the Rfam family "Bacterial small subunit ribosomal RNA", at positions 338 to 916 of the family's 1533-position model. Lineage: Bacteria; Pseudomonadati; Bacteroidota. The record is from RNAcentral.